AAAUCAUUUACUGGUGGUAUACCUCGAGGACUGCGUCUGGAAACCUUGGAUUACAGUACAGGUUUCUUUUUAACCCCUUAAGGACACAGUUUCAGAAAUAAAAGGGAAUCAUGACGGAAUAUUUCCAUCGUGUGUCCUUAAGGGGUUAAUGCUGUUGCAGUAAUUCGUUUUAAUUUCACCCUUUCUGUCGGUCACGCAGUGUUCGCUGUACGUCUGUACAUGAC
Molecule: non-coding RNA, 224 nt
Organism: Pelobates cultripes (western spadefoot toad)
Lineage: Eukaryota; Metazoa; Chordata; Amphibia; Anura; Pelobatidae
Source: the annotation of a GenBank genome assembly